RNAcentral lists this long non-coding RNA (1472 nucleotides) under Gallus gallus (chicken). RNAcentral's name for it is "lncRNA (ENSGALG00010004413.1)". The record is from RNAcentral. Lineage: Eukaryota; Metazoa; Chordata; Aves; Galliformes; Phasianidae.
GAGCCCCAGCGCAACCCCGGCCGCUCUCGUGGGAACCGCUCCCGCGGGCCGCGUGUGGGGGACCGGGAGCUCGGGCCGCCUCUCCUCGGGUAGCUGUAAGGGACACGUUCAGCUGAGGGACCCACGGCGAGAGGGUGGGAACGGGUAACUUCGGCUGCCCGGCAGAAGGGCGCGGAGCGGAUACACUGAGGCAAAGUUGCGCAAAGUUUGCGCUCACGGCCACCGCUCCCCGCACCUCCUCUCCUCUCACGGCUGCUCCAUCCCUCUCGUUCAUCGCUGUGCGAGCGCAGCGCUGGGAAUGGAACGGUUUGCGCUCACGGAUGCGGCUCUUUUCCCUUCACCCGCGGCCCCGAAUCCCAUCGCUGGGGACGGUGCGCUCCUCCCGCGAGCGCGGUGCGGCUACGGCCGCUGCGGCCCCGACAGCCGCGGGACCGCUCUGAGCCGUGUACCAAAAAAAACGGGGCCAAGUGCUGAGCGCGGCGCUUUUUAUUGCCUCGCUAUUGAACUUUGCAAACAGUGCGGCGGGGGCAGGCGGCGAUGGAGGGGCGCGGAGGCGCGGGGCUGAGCGGGGUGAGAGGAGCGGGGCGCGUCGGUCUCUCGGUGAUUUGGGAACGGAGCAGCUCCGGAGAUGGGCGCAGCCGUGGCAGAGAAGUUAGAUUGCAGCUGAAGGAGAGAGGUCAGUAGCUUUCCCGGUCAAUCUCUCUGUCCGUCCGACGCUGUCCCCGUCUAUUCCCCACGAAGGGAAAAAGCUCCAACUUCACUCCUCCGCGCACUGCGCGCACCUCCGCUGCCGGCGCAGUGAGGCUGCGGCUGUUCGGUCCCUUAUCUGAGACGGGGAAAUAACGGCGCUCCUUCCAAUCACGGGGCGGAAUCGGUCUCCUCCCGUUCAGUUGUGACAUAUCUGUAUUUUUUCUUUGGGUCUCAUUUUGGAACCGCAGUUGACAACUUUUAUUUAAAAGCACUUUACCAGGCGCCACUUAAUGCAUUAUUCACAUUUUUAAAAAUGCUUGAGAGAAAUCACCUUAAUGAAGAGAACAUUUGCGGUAAUUUGGCGAUAAUUAUCAGAAUGGCCAAACGUUCGCAGAGGCUGUAGCGUUACGUGUCGGAAGAAAAGCGAAGCGCAUUAUUUUAAUGGUCUGAUAUGCAAACUACGGACCGUCCAAUUAUAACCCUUAAUAGCGCAGACGCGAUGCGGUGCCGCUGCUGUUGGGACGGGAGGGCCGCGGCGGUGCGCUCCGAGGACCGCGUGUGCGCCUCCAUCCAGCGAGAGCGUUCCCGUGGAGCAGGGCCCUGCCAAACCGCAUUUAAGAGAAUAAAAAUUAAUGACUGCGAAUUUGAGCGUUAAAUUAACAUUAAUUAUAUGACCUGCCUGCUGGAAAGAUUAAAUUUCUUACGCCCUAAUUAGAUAACGUCUCCUCAUACAUCAAACAAUUUCCUUUUCCAGAUUUCGGUAUUAAAAUGCAAGAACGGGG